RNAcentral lists this ribosomal RNA (900 nucleotides) under uncultured cyanobacterium. RNAcentral describes it as "bacterial SSU rRNA". It matches the Rfam family "Bacterial small subunit ribosomal RNA", at positions 505 to 1403 of the family's 1533-position model. The record is from RNAcentral. Lineage: Bacteria; Bacillati; Cyanobacteriota.
GUGCCAGCAGCCGCGGUAAUACGGAGGAGGCAAGCGUUAUCCGGAAUUAUUGGGCGUAAAGCGUCCGCAGGGGGCGCAUCAAGUCUGCUGUUAAAGGUCGGAGCUAAACUCCGGUAGAGCAGUGGAAACGGGUGCGCUAGAGGGCGACAGGGGUAGAGGGAAUUCCCAGUGUAGCGGUGAAAUGCGUAGAGAUUGGGAAGAACACCGGUGGCGAAAGCGCUCUACUGGGUCGCACCUGACCCUCAGGGACGAAAGCUAAGGUAGCGAAAGGGAUUAGAUACCCCUGUAGUCUUAGCCGUAAACGAUGGAUACUAGGCGUGGUUUGUAUCGACCCAAGCCGUGCCGAAGCUAACGCGUUAAGUAUCCCGCCUGGGGAGUACGCACGCAAGUGUGAAACUCAAAGGAAUUGACGGGGGCCCGCACAAGCGGUGGAGGAUGUGGUUUAAUUCGAUGCAACGCGAAGAACCUUACCAGGGCUUGACAUCCCGCGAAGUUUGGGGAAACUCAGACGUGCCUACGGGAACGCGGAGACAGGUGGUGCAUGGCUGUCGUCAGCUCGUGUCGUGAGAUGUUGGGGUUAAGUCCCGCAACGAGCGCAACCCUCGUCCUUAGUUGCCAGCAUUAAGUUGGGCACUAUAGGGAGACUGCCGGUGACAAACCGGAGGAAGGUGAGGAUGACGUCAAGUCAGCAUGCCCCUUAUGCUCUGGGCAACACACGUCCUACAAUGGUCGGGACAAAGGGGAGCGAGCUCGCGAGAGUAAGCGAAUCCCAGCAAACUCGGCCUCAGUUCAGAUAGCAGGCUGCAACCCGCCUGCUUGAAGGAGGAAUCGCUAGUAAUCGCAGGUCAGCAUACUGCGGUGAAUUCGUUCCCGGGCCUUGCACUCACCGCCCGUCAAGGG